Molecule: ribosomal RNA, 253 nt
Filed under: uncultured bacterium
Lineage: Bacteria
Description: partial 16S ribosomal RNA
Rfam family: Bacterial small subunit ribosomal RNA
Source: RNAcentral
UACGGAGGGUGCGAGCGUUGUCCGGAAUCACUGGGCGUAAAGGGCGCGUAGGCGGCGCGGGUAGUCGUCGGUGAAAGCUCAGGGCUCAACCCUGAGUCGGCCGGUGAUACUCCCGUGCUCGAGCACUGUAGAGGCAGGUGGAAUUCCGGGUGUAGCGGUGGAAUGCGUAGAGAUCCGGAAGAACACCGGUGGCGAAGGCGGCUCGCUGGGCAGUGGCUGACGCUGAGGCGCGACAGCGUGGGGAGCAAACAGG